CUGCGGGCGCGAGGGGCGGGCCUCGCCGCCUCGCGGAGGCGCCGCAAACUUUUCCCGGCUCGCAAGUUGCCGGGCUCCGCGGCCGCCGACCGACUUCCUCCGCCGGCCGCUGGAGCGAAGGGGGCGCCUCUGCCCCGGGAGGGGGCUGGGCGAGCCGGGGCACGGUCAAGUUGGGGCCGGCGGAGCGCGGCGCCCCGCACUGCGAGGCGCGCGGGGAGGCCGAGCGCGGCCCGCAUUGUCUCCGCGGCCUCGGACCUCGCUCGGGCGGCGGUAGCAGCCGCGGGCGCGGCCAACGAGUUGCCCUCCCCCAAUUUGGCUGCCCCCUUUUCGCCGGCGCCACCGCCGCCGCCGCCCACCGCGUUCUUUGUGUGUCUCUCGCCGCCCUCGGGCCGCUCCGCCGCUGGCCUGACAGCUGAUGGGCUCGCCACGCCGGGUCCCACGUCUUCUCGGCCGCCGCCGGCGGAGCCCGGCCCGGUCGGAGGAAGAGGAGGAGGAGCAGAGGAGAGGAGCGUUGACAGAUGCGGUCUCGAAGCGGCCGCCGCUGAGGGGGAAAACCCGGACUGUCCCCCAGAGACGCGGCCGGGGACCAGCCCUGGCCCUGCACUGCUCCUCCGAGACCUCGUCGGCGCGGCCACCCUCCCUCCGCGGCUGCCCGCGCAGCUCGGGUCCCGCGCCCCCUGCCCGGCUCGGCAGACCGGCGCGCUCGGUCAAGAAUCCAGAGGAACCCGCUCCGCCCCCUGGCUCCAGCGCCCUCCAAUGAUCUCGGCCUACCGGGGGCAGUACUGUCCAAUCAAGUGUCGGAAAACCCGGCCGGUCCCCGAGAGUGUAGCCAAUAGGAGGCCACUCCGGCAACACACCCGCCCUGAUCCGCGGAGGACGGACCGCUCGGCGCCCAGUCCUGGGACCCCGACCCUGGCGCCCAGAGCAACUCUUACGUCUGACCGGAACUGUGUCGCAAAGCCGGAGUGUGGCGAGGGAGGUCCGGCGCUUAUAUUGCGGCUACUACUAGGCGCUGAGGAAAAUGGGAACGCUGGACACACUACUUUUGUGGGUCAUCUGAAUCUCCACCGUUAA
This 1074-nucleotide long non-coding RNA is filed under the name Oryctolagus cuniculus (rabbit). RNAcentral describes it as "lncRNA (ENSOCUG00000032863.1)". Lineage: Eukaryota; Metazoa; Chordata; Mammalia; Lagomorpha; Leporidae. The record is from RNAcentral.